This 492-nucleotide ribosomal RNA is filed under the name uncultured bacterium. RNAcentral's name for it is "partial 16S ribosomal RNA". It matches the Rfam family "Bacterial small subunit ribosomal RNA", at positions 29 to 507 of the family's 1533-position model. The record is from RNAcentral.
AGUGAACGCUGGCGGUAGGCCUAACACAUGCAAGUCGAACGGCAGCACAGUAAGAGCUUGCUCUUACGGGUGGCGAGUGGCGGACGGGUGAGGAAUACAUCGGAAUCUACUUUUUCGUGGGGGAUAACGUAGGGAAACUUACGCUAAUACCGCAUACGACCUACGUGUGAAAGCAGGGGAUCUUCGGACCUUGCGCGAUUGAAUGAGCCGAUGUCGGAUUAGCUAGUUGGCGGGGUAAAGGCCCACCAAGGCGACGAUCCGUAGCUGGUCUGAGAGGAUGAUCAGCCACACUGGAACUGAGACACGGUCCAGACUCCUACGGGAGGCAGCAGUGGGGAAUAUUGGACAAUGGGCGCAAGCCUGAUCCAGCCAUACCGCGUGGGUGAAGAAGGCGUUAGGGUUGUAAAGCCAUUUUGUUGGGAAAGAAAAGCAGCAGGUUAAUACCCCGCUGUUAUGACGGUACCCAAAGAAUAAGCACCGGCUAACUUCGUG